RNAcentral lists this long non-coding RNA (723 nucleotides) under Phasianus colchicus (ring-necked pheasant). Its description in RNAcentral is "lncRNA (ENSPCLG00000001762.1)". Lineage: Eukaryota; Metazoa; Chordata; Aves; Galliformes; Phasianidae. The record is from RNAcentral.
CAUCACCUCUGUAGCAUGGCAUCCAAGCACAUGCUUGAAAAGUCAUAGUGGUAAUACUGAAAGAAACCUGAAUAAGAAAUCCAAAGAGCGUGACUAAAUCUCCUUCAAAGACCAUCUCAUGUUCCUGGUGCUGUUGUUUCAAUUUGCAAUUGACCAGCUAUAGAAGUAUAAUCACAAGUUCAGAACAGCGGCAUGCGAGUGAAAGCCUGAAGCUGCAAUGUGAACUCUGGCCGUCACACUGUACAAGAACUCAAAAUCAACACACUGACUGAAAAUGUUACCUGCAAACAUGUGCUUACCUGAAGGUAGAAAUGACCCACUGUGGCUAGGAAAAGGGAUAAUGCCAGUGCCUUGUGAGAUCCCUUGUUUGGAAAGGAUGACUGUUAUGGAAAUAGUUGCUGAAGAAGAUGCUUUUCAUCAUCAAUCAGAAAGAGCUCCAAACAGUUACAUCAUGAUAUUCUAUCAGUAUGCAAGGCUGACUUACUGUUGUUAGUACUGUGAUUUUUAUUUUGCUCUGAUGGCUGAACACCAAUUGAGGAUCAGAGCAAAGUGAAGAGAGAAUUUUCAAACCAACGUGCAGCAGUUUAGAUACCGCAUAUGAUACACUGUGACCCAAUGGCAAAAUAUGUGCAGAGCUUUUCCUGAAUGAAGAAAGGAGAAAUUGGGGCUGCAACUGACACUUCAGCAUUUUCUUUUCCUUUCUUAAUAAAAGGGGCUCAUUCC